This 414-nucleotide ribosomal RNA is filed under the name uncultured microorganism. RNAcentral's name for it is "bacterial SSU rRNA". It matches the Rfam family "Archaeal small subunit ribosomal RNA", at positions 459 to 872 of the family's 1478-position model. The record is from RNAcentral.
CAGCCGCCGCGGUAAUACCGGCGGCCCGAGUGGCGGUCACUAUUAUUGGGCUUAAAACGUCCGUAGCCGGGUUGGUUAGUCUCCCGGGAAAUCUGGCCGCUUAACGGUCAGAAUUCCGGGAGAUACUGCCAGCCUAGGGACCGGGAGAGGCCGAGGGGAUUCCCGGAGUAGGGGGGAAAUCCUAUAAUCCCGGGAGGACCACCUGUGGCGAAGGCGCUCGGCUGGAACGGGUCCGACGGUGAGGGACGAAGGCCAGGGGAGCAAACCGGAUUAGAUACCCGGGUAGUCCUGGCUGUAAACGAUGCGGACUUUGUGUCGGACAAGCUAUGAGCUUGUCCGGUGCCGGAGGGAAACCGUUAAGUCCGCCGCCUGGGGAGUACGGCCGCAAGGCUGAAACUUAAAGGAAUUGGCGGG